AGAACGAACGCUGGCGGCAGGCUUAACACAUGCAAGUCGAGCGCCUCGCAAGAGGAGCGGCAGACGGGUGAGUAACGCGUGGGAAUCUACCUAUCUCUACGGAACAACUCCGGGAAACUGGAGCUAAUACCGUAUACGCCCUUUGGGGGAAAGAUUUAUCGGAGAUGGAUGAGCCCGCGUUGGAUUAGGUAGUUGGUGGGGUAAUGGCCUACCAAGCCGACGAUCCAUAGCUGGUCUGAGAGGAUGAUCAGCCACAUUGGGACUGAGACACGGCCCAAACUCCUACGGGAGGCAGCAGUGGGGAAUAUUGGACAAUGGGCGCAAGCCUGAUCCAGCCAUGCCGCGUGAGUGAUGAAGGCCCUAGGGUUGUAAAGCUCUUUCAACGGUGAAGAUAAUGACGGUAACCGUAGAAGAAGCCCCGGCUAACUUCGUGCCAGCAGCCGC
This 444-nucleotide ribosomal RNA is filed under the name uncultured bacterium. RNAcentral's name for it is "SSU rRNA". It matches the Rfam family "Bacterial small subunit ribosomal RNA", at positions 26 to 518 of the family's 1533-position model. The record is from RNAcentral.